GGUCUGUAGCUCAGUGGUAGAGCACUUGCCUAGCAUAUGUGAGGCACUGAGUUUGAUCCUCAGCACCA
RNAcentral lists this transfer RNA (68 nucleotides) under Marmota monax (woodchuck). Its description in RNAcentral is "tRNA.Ala". Lineage: Eukaryota; Metazoa; Chordata; Mammalia; Rodentia; Sciuridae. The record is from RNAcentral.